This 460-nucleotide ribosomal RNA is filed under the name uncultured bacterium. Its description in RNAcentral is "partial 16S ribosomal RNA". It matches the Rfam family "Bacterial small subunit ribosomal RNA", at positions 338 to 795 of the family's 1533-position model. The record is from RNAcentral.
CCUACGGGCGACUGCAGUGAGGAAUAUUGGUCAAUGGACGAGAGUCUGAACCAGCCAAGUAGCGUGAAGGAUGACUGCCCUAUGGGUUGUAAACUUCUUUUAUAUGGGAAUAAAACGUUCCACGUGUGGGAUUUUGUAUGUACCAUAUGAAUAAGGAUCGGCUAACUCCGUGCCAGCAGCCGCGGUAAUACGGAGGAUCCGAGCGUUAUCCGGAUUUAUUGGGUUUAAAGGGAGCGUAGGUGGAUUGUUAAGUCAGUUGUGAAAGUUUGCGGCUCAACCGUAAAAUUGCAGUUGAAACUGGCAGUCUGGAGUACAGUAGAGGUGGGCGGAAUUCGUGGUGUAGCGGUGAAAUGCUUAGAUAUCACGAAGAACUCCGAUUGCGAAGGCAGCUCACUGGACUGCAACUGACACUGAGGCUCGAAAGUGUGGGUAUCAAACAGGAUUAGAUACCCGAGUAGUC